GCAGACGUAUCGAAGCGGUCAUAACGGGGCGCACUCGAAAUGCGUUUGACCUCCGGGUCACGAGGGUUCGAAUCCCUCCGUCUGCG
This 86-nucleotide transfer RNA is filed under the name Lachnospiraceae bacterium G41. It matches the Rfam family "tRNA". From Rfam's summary of the family: Transfer RNA (tRNA) molecules are approximately 80 nucleotides in length. Their secondary structure includes four short double-helical elements and three loops (D, anti-codon, and T loops). RNAcentral also lists the same sequence under 2 other names. Lineage: Bacteria; Bacillati; Bacillota; Clostridia; Lachnospirales; Lachnospiraceae. The record is from Rfam by way of RNAcentral.